GGUUGGCUAGCUCAGUUGGUUAGAGCGUCGAGCUAAUACCACCUUGCGUGUAACUCGAAGGUCAUGGGUUCGACCCCCCUGCUGACCA
Molecule: non-coding RNA, 88 nt
Organism: Rhizoctonia solani AG-1 IB
Lineage: Eukaryota; Fungi; Basidiomycota; Agaricomycetes; Cantharellales; Ceratobasidiaceae
Source: Rfam